RNAcentral lists this ribosomal RNA (442 nucleotides) under uncultured bacterium. Its description in RNAcentral is "partial 16S ribosomal RNA". It matches the Rfam family "Bacterial small subunit ribosomal RNA", at positions 338 to 795 of the family's 1533-position model. The record is from RNAcentral.
CCUACGGGAGGCAGCAGUGGGGAAUAUUGGGCAAUGGGCGCAAGCCUGACCCAGCAACGCCGCGUGAAGGAAGAAGGCUUUCGGGUUGUAAACUUCUUUUCUGAGGGACGAAGAAAGUGACGGUACCUCAGGAAUAAGCCACGGCUAACUACGUGCCAGCAGCCGCGGUAAACGUAGGUGGCAAAGGUUAAUCGGGGUUAUUGGGGGGAAAGGGCGUGGAGGCGGGAAAGCAAGUCAGAUGUGAAAACUCAGGGCUCAACCCUGAGCCUGCAUUUGAAACUGUUUUUCUUGAGUGCUGGAGAGGCAAUCGGAAUUCCGUGUGUAGCGGUGAAAUGCGUAGAUAUACGGAGGAACACCAGUGGCGAAGGCGGAUUGCUGGACAGUAACUGACGCUGAGGCGCGAAAGCGUGGGGAGCAAACAGGAUUAGAUACCCCUGUAGUC